UACAACUCCCCGAAAAUUCUCACACGCCGCUGUGACAAACGCUUGCCAUUUCUGUCUCUGUGUCCCAUGGCAUCCACAGGACCUGCUCAAGGUUUUCUGCUGCAGUAUGAUUUGGUAUGCAGUUUGCACAGUCCACUGGGAUGGAGCACAUGCACCAGCAGCCACACAGAGAUAUUGCUAUGGGGCUCCUAGCACAGAGCUUUGGAUAUGACUGAGGGUGAAAACUACUUCACCUGGGUCCAUAUCCUACCAGGGAGAACUUGCCAUAGCACCUCAGGUGUGAGAAAUUGCCCCUUCUGUUAAAGCUCAGGUGUUUUAUAGCAAAACCCACACAGUUCUAGGUGUCUGCAGUAGGCUCAGGAAGGCUCACUGAAGAUACUCUCACCAAAAUCUGCGGCCUGCAUGUGUGCCAUGGCUAAGAGGCACCCAGCAUGUUUCCCUGCAGCAUCCAGGAGCUGGCAUGCCUCCAGCAGCAGAGUGGGGAAAUGCACACAGAUGAAAUGUUUGGGUUGUUUUUUCCCCUCUCUGUCAUUCCUGAGUCACUGUUGAUCUAUUGGGAAGUGAAGGAUCUCAAA
This is a long non-coding RNA of Passer domesticus (house sparrow), 575 nucleotides long. RefSeq lists it as uncharacterized. The record is from RefSeq and is a predicted model, not a curated record. Lineage: Eukaryota; Metazoa; Chordata; Aves; Passeriformes; Passeridae. The transcript has 3 exons.